RNAcentral lists this ribosomal RNA (116 nucleotides) under Dactylaria sp. RNAcentral describes it as "partial large subunit ribosomal RNA". Lineage: Eukaryota; Fungi; Ascomycota; Leotiomycetes; Helotiales. The record is from RNAcentral.
CGGCAACAGCUCAAAUUUGAAAUCUGGCCUUGGCCCGAGUUGUAAUUUGUAGAGGAUGCUUUUGGUGCGGUGCCUUCCGAGUUCCCUGGAACGGGACGCCUUAGAGGGUGAGAGCC